GCCUUCAUGGUGUAAUGAUUAGCACACUCGGCUCAUAUUCGAGAGAUCCGAGUUUCGAGUCCCGUCGAGGGCA
RNAcentral lists this transfer RNA (73 nucleotides) under Stegodyphus mimosarum. It matches the Rfam family "tRNA". Rfam says of the family: Transfer RNA (tRNA) molecules are approximately 80 nucleotides in length. Their secondary structure includes four short double-helical elements and three loops (D, anti-codon, and T loops). Lineage: Eukaryota; Metazoa; Arthropoda; Arachnida; Araneae; Eresidae. The record is from Rfam by way of RNAcentral.